RNAcentral lists this transfer RNA (55 nucleotides) under Sarcoptes scabiei. RNAcentral describes it as "tRNA-Tyr". Lineage: Eukaryota; Metazoa; Arthropoda; Arachnida; Sarcoptiformes; Sarcoptidae. The record is from RNAcentral.
UUGGAUAAGAAAAAAAAAUAAAAGCUGUAAACUUUUAAAAUAAAAAUUAUCGGAU